UACGUAGGUGGCAAGCGUUGUCCGGAAUUAUUGGGCGUAAAGCGCGCGCAGGUGGUUUCUUAAGUCUGAUGUGAAAGCCCACGGCUCAACCGUGGAGGGUCAUUGGAAACUGGGGAACUUGAGUGCAGGAGAGAAGAGUGGAAUUCCACGUGUAGCGGUGAAAUGCGUAGAGAUGUGGAGGAACACCAGUGGCGAAGGCGACUCUUUGGCCUGUAACUGACACUGAGGCGCGAAAGCGUGGGGAGCAAACAGGG
This 254-nucleotide ribosomal RNA is filed under the name uncultured bacterium. RNAcentral's name for it is "partial 16S ribosomal RNA". It matches the Rfam family "Bacterial small subunit ribosomal RNA", at positions 524 to 777 of the family's 1533-position model. The record is from RNAcentral.